AUGGAAAUUCAGAAUAUUGAGGGAUUUUGUGAUGGGAUUAAAAUGGAUGAAAAUUCAGAAUAUUGAGGGAUUUUGUGAUGGGAUUUGAGUGGAAAUGCAGAAUAUUGAGGGAUUUUGUGAUGAGACUAAAAUGGAUGAAAAUUCAGAAUAUUGAGGGAUUUUUUGAUAAGACUCAAAUGAAUGAAAAUUCAGAAUUUU
This is a non-coding RNA of Zonotrichia albicollis (white-throated sparrow), 198 nucleotides long. NCBI's taxonomy places the organism in Eukaryota, Metazoa, Chordata, Aves, Passeriformes, Passerellidae. The record is from RefSeq and is a predicted model, not a curated record.